This 1821-nucleotide long non-coding RNA is filed under the name Homo sapiens (human). RNAcentral's name for it is "non-protein coding lnc-ZFP42-12:1". Lineage: Eukaryota; Metazoa; Chordata; Mammalia; Primates; Hominidae. The record is from RNAcentral.
UCCCAAACCUCAACAUCAUGCAAUAUAGCAUGUAACAAACCUGCACGGGUACCUCUGAAUCUAAAAUAAAAGUUGGGAUUUUUUUUAAAAGAAAUGAUACAAAUGGAACAGCAUUUAGAGAGUUCAUAUGCGAGGUGCAGAACAAUGACACUUGGAAGGAUGGAUAGAUAGAUAGAUAGAUAGAUAAUAGAAACAGACAGAAUUAAGGCAAGAGUUGAUACUGCAGUCUCAAAUCCAAAAUGUGCAGGUUGGAACUCAGGCAAGGUUUCUGUGUUGCCGUCUUAGAGCACUAUUGCUUCUCCUUUGGGAAACCUCAUUUUUGCUCUUAGGGCCUUCAACUAAUUGGAUGAGGCUCACCCACAUUACAAAGAGGAAUCUGCCUUACUCAGUCUAUUGAUUUAAAUGUUAAUCACAUCUAAAAAAAUCACAGCAACCCCUAGUGUUUUACCAAACAGCCAGGCAGUGUAGCCUAGCCAAGCUGAUGUGCAAAAUUAACCAUCAUACAAUGAGAAGAAGGAUUUCUCAAGUUCCCACCAUCACUUCUACUCCCACGGACGACAGUGCCCAAAUCCUCUCUCUUUCCUUAUGUUGCUGUGCGUCAGGCUUCUCAGCCUCAGCACUAUCUGUGUUGGGAGGAUCCUUCUCAUUGUGGGGAAGCUGUACUCUGCCUUGCAGGAAGUUUAGUAGCCUGUCUGGCCUCUAUCCACUAGAUUUCAGUAGCACCCCCACUUGUGACAACUAAAAUAUGUCUCCAGACAUUGCCAUCAGUUUUCCCCUCUUUGUUGGAUCAUUCCCACUAUAUACAAAUAUGCUUUGUUCUUUCCCCAAAAUAUCUCAUAGCCCACUUUACUUUUUAUCUAUCCCGUAAUUUCUUUUGUUCUGUUUGUAGUAAAAUUCCUUGCAAAUGUUUGUACUUAUUACCAAUUAUGUUGUUCUUUCUCAAAUUCACUUCAGAGUUUUCCCUUGCUACUCCAACAAAGCAGCUCUCAUCAAUGUCACCAAUGACCCUCACGUUGCUAAAUCCAAUAGUUCUUCUCUCACUUGUCUUAUGUGCAAUAUUUGACAGUCGAUCACUUUCUCCCCCUUGACAUAAUGAUAAAAUGAGAUCUUCCUCACUGUCUUGACCACAUAAAUUUUGAGUUCCAAGAUAAUCAGACCUUGAACCUCUUGUCUAUCACACUCACUCAUUUGAUAAUCUUAUCUAGUCCCUUAGCAUUUAAUGUCACUUACAUGCUGAUGAAACCUCAAUUUAUAUCUUCAGCCCAAGCUGCUCCCAUGAACUCCAGACUCAUACGCCCUUGCCCUUAGUUGUGGGACUUUGCAGUUCCUUCGUCUGGUGACAGCCCCUUGAUUUGGGGUUUGAUCACAUGACUUUCGUUAGCUGAUGAGAUGUGAUGGGAAGUCGCAGGGUGCCAGUUCUAAGCCUAGGCCUUAAGAAAAAUUGACGCUCCUGUCUUCCAAAUUCCCAUAGUGGUUUUACAUUCCAUGAAGACAUUCUCCAGUUAUCCUGCUUGUCCAAAGAUGGUAAAAGAGACAUUGGAGUAACUAGGACCUAACCAGCAGCUUAGAGUUAUGAACUGUGAGCUCAGCCGCACUCAGCCGAAACCAAGCAGCUCAGUCAAGAGCGAAUCAUGGCUUUUCUCUGCAGUCACUCAGUUUUGGAAUCAGUUUUUGGGAUGCCGGAAUGCUGUGUUACGUGGCAUUAUUAUGGCAAUUGUAAAUGCACCACAACUCCUAAUUUUCCUCCUGCACCUGUUUUGCCCUCAAUGAUCCUCAAUUCUGUGGAUAAUAAUUCCAGCCUUCUAAUUUCUCAGGCCAAAA